Molecule: long non-coding RNA, 755 nt
Filed under: Mytilus galloprovincialis (Mediterranean mussel)
Lineage: Eukaryota; Metazoa; Mollusca; Bivalvia; Mytilida; Mytilidae
Source: RNAcentral
UUUUGUGCAGUAAUAAUGUAUUUAUUUAGCAUUAACAGUAAUAAAUAAGCAGAAAUAAAACUCAAAUUGAAGUAUUAUAAUAUUGUUGAUAAAUGUUUUGGAUAUAAACUAUAAAAAAAGCAUGAUAAAGUAACAUAACUGUGAUAACCUUUAUUUAUAACAUCAUUUUGAAAAACUUGUAACAUGUAAGUGAGCUGUUUCAUUCAGAUGUGGGUAAGGCAAAUGAUAUAUACAAAAAAUAGAAGAAAAAAAGUCGUGCUACAUUCAAAUUACACAUUAGCGAACAAAAAAAUUAAGAGGGGAGGUAUUACUAAACGUCGGUAGCAUUAAAUGUUACAUUUCGCGAAGUGAAAAUGUAACUUAGGAAUUUUGUUAAAAUACAUAACUGGAAGAUAAAAAGACCCCCUCCCCUGGAUUAUUAUAUCCCCUCCCCUGGCGUUUGAAUAAAUUAUGUAGGAAGAUUAUAUGCAGCGACAUAAUAGGGAUACAAUAUGGAUUGUAUGCCUAUAUCAUUUACUAUGAAAGUCGACAUUUUGUACUUGAAUGCAUAUAAGGAUUGACCAGCCACCACUCAGUAUCUAUUUGGACCUAGUAUUGUCUAUCUAGUAUUUUUAAAUAAUAUAUUUAAUUUCUGUAUCUUUUUCAAAGUCUCAUAUCACAGAAUCAUGCCAUAGACAAUUAAACCACCAUAUAAGACAGCGCCAUUACAAAUUUAUGAAAAAAUAGUGUGAAUUUAUUUACGUUUUUCCUUUUAU